GGGUUGUGAGGUUAAGCGACUAAGCGUACACGGUGGAUGCCCUGGCAGUCAGAGGCGAUGAAGGACGUGCUAAUCUGCGAAAAGCGUCGGUAAGGUGAUAUGAACCGUUACAGCCGGCGAUGUCCGAAUGGGGAAACCCAGUGCAAUUCGUUGCACUAUCGUUAACUGAAUACAUAGGUUAACGAGGCGAACCGGGGGAACUGAAACAUCUAAGUACCCCGAGGAAAAGAAAUCAACCGAGAUUCCCCCAGUAGCGGCGAGCG
RNAcentral lists this ribosomal RNA (263 nucleotides) under Klebsiella pneumoniae. Its description in RNAcentral is "partial 23S ribosomal RNA". It matches the Rfam family "Bacterial large subunit ribosomal RNA", at positions 1 to 255 of the family's 2925-position model. Lineage: Bacteria; Pseudomonadati; Pseudomonadota; Gammaproteobacteria; Enterobacterales; Enterobacteriaceae. The record is from RNAcentral.